RNAcentral lists this unclassified non-coding RNA (216 nucleotides) under Hevea brasiliensis (rubber tree). Lineage: Eukaryota; Viridiplantae; Streptophyta; Magnoliopsida; Malpighiales; Euphorbiaceae. The record is from RNAcentral.
GGCGAUCAUUGUGUCUUGUUGUGGGUGUUUUCAUGGUCGGACCUUGGGAGUUAUCUCUAUGAGCUGUGACAAUGAUGCAACACGCGGUUUUGGACCAUUGGUUCCUGGGCAUCUGAAAGUGGAUUUUGGCGAUGCUGAUGCACUUGAAAAAAUCUUCAAAGAGCAUGGAGACAAGAUAGCUGGAUUUUUGUUUGAGCCGAUUCAAGGAGAGGCAGG